This 555-nucleotide ribosomal RNA is filed under the name Bifidobacterium adolescentis. RNAcentral describes it as "bacterial SSU rRNA". It matches the Rfam family "Bacterial small subunit ribosomal RNA", at positions 146 to 711 of the family's 1533-position model. The record is from RNAcentral. Lineage: Bacteria; Bacillati; Actinomycetota; Actinomycetes; Bifidobacteriales; Bifidobacteriaceae.
UCUCCUGGAAAACGGGUGGUAAUGCCGGAUGCUCCAGCAGACCGCAUGUUCUUUCGGGAAAGAUUCAUCGGUAUGGGAUGGGGUCGCGUCCUAUCAGCUUGAUGGCGGGGUAACGGCCCACCAUGGCUUCGACGGGUAGCCGGCCUGAGAGGGCGACCGGCCACAUUGGGACUGAGAUACGGCCCAGACUCCUACGGGAGGCAGCAGUGGGGAAUAUUGCACAAUGGGCGCAAGCCUGAUGCAGCGACGCCGCGUGCGGGAUGACGGCCUUCGGGUUGUAAACCGCUUUUGACUGGGAGCAAGCCCUUCGGGGUGAGUGUACCUUUCGAAUAAGCACCGGCUAACUACGUGCCAGCAGCCGCGGUAAUACGUAGGGUGCAAGCGUUAUCCGGAAUUAUUGGGCGUAAAGGGCUCGUAGGCGGUUCGUCGCGUCCGGUGUGAAAGUCCAUCGCUUAACGGUGGAUCCGCGCCGGGUACGGGCGGGCUUGAGUGCGGUAGGGGAGACUGGAAUUCCCGGUGUAACGGUGGAAUGUGUAGAUAUCGGAAAGAACACCA